Molecule: ribosomal RNA, 496 nt
Filed under: uncultured bacterium
Lineage: Bacteria
Description: partial 16S ribosomal RNA
Rfam family: Bacterial small subunit ribosomal RNA
Source: RNAcentral
GAUGAACGCUGGCGGCGUGCCUAAUACAUGCAAGUCGAGCGAACAGACGAGGAGCUUGCUCCUUCGACGUUAGCGGCGGACGGGUGAGUAACACGUAGGUAACCUACCUAUAAGACUGGGAUAACUUCGGGAAACCGGAGCUAAUACCGGAUAAUAUUUCGAACCGCAUGGUUCGAUAGUGAAAGAUGGCUUUGCUAUCACUUAUAGAUGGACCUGCGCCGUAUUAGCUAGUUGGUAAGGUAACGGCUUACCAAGGCAACGAUACGUAGCCGACCUGAGAGGGGGAUCGGCCAAACUGGAAAUGAGACACGGUCCAGACUCCUACGGGAGGCAGCAGGAGGGAAUCUUCCGCAAUGGGGGAAAGCCUGACGGAGCAACGCCGGGGGAGGGAUGAAGGGUUUCGGAUCGUAAAACUUUGUUAUUAGGGAAAAACAAACGUGUAAGUAACUGGGCCCGUCUUGACGGUACCUAAUCAAAAAGCCACGGCUAACUACGG